This 214-nucleotide long non-coding RNA is filed under the name Lathyrus oleraceus (garden pea). RNAcentral's name for it is "Pisum sativum (pea) long non-coding RNA (PSAT_LNC021208)". The record is from RNAcentral. Lineage: Eukaryota; Viridiplantae; Streptophyta; Magnoliopsida; Fabales; Fabaceae.
AUUCAGGAAGUACACACCAACAUUAUACACAGCAGAAAGCUGAGAUAAUGAACAAAUCCAAGGAACUCAUUAAGAGCCCUAAAUAUUACAUAACAGGCAUCAAAAGGACUGCCAGAAAAUACAAAAACAAAAAACCCAAACAAGACAACAGCCUUCCAAACAGCAACAACUUCCACCACACCUUCCAGCACUCCUCCAAGUCUUCAAUUCAGUC